GCCUUAGUAGUCUAGUGGUUCAGGAUACGACCCUGUCACGGUCGUGGCGCGGGUUCGAUUCCCGCCUAGGGCG
Molecule: transfer RNA, 73 nt
Filed under: Candidatus Nanoarchaeia archaeon
Lineage: Archaea; Nanobdellati; Nanobdellota; Candidatus Nanoarchaeia
Description: tRNA-Asp
Rfam family: tRNA
About the family: Transfer RNA (tRNA) molecules are approximately 80 nucleotides in length. Their secondary structure includes four short double-helical elements and three loops (D, anti-codon, and T loops).
Source: RNAcentral